This 471-nucleotide ribosomal RNA is filed under the name uncultured bacterium. RNAcentral describes it as "bacterial SSU rRNA". It matches the Rfam family "Bacterial small subunit ribosomal RNA", at positions 335 to 801 of the family's 1533-position model. The record is from RNAcentral.
ACUCCUACGGGAGGCAGCAGUGAGGAAUAUUGGUCAAUGGAGGGAACUCUGAACCAGCCAUCCCGCGUGUAGGAAGACGGCCUUAUGGGUUGUAAACUACUUUUAUACAGGAAGAAACGUACCCUCGUGAGGGUGCCUGACGGUACUGUAGGAAUAAGCACCGGCUAACUCUGUGCCAGCAGCCGCGGUAAUACAGAGGGUGCGAGCGUUAAUCGGAUUUACUGGGCGUAAAGCGUGCGUAGGCGGCCAUUUAAGUCAAAUGUGAAAUCCCCGAGCUUAACUUGGGAAUUGCAUUCGAUACUGGAUGGCUAGAGUAUGGGAGAGGAUGGUAGAAUUCCAGGUGUAGCGGUGAAAUGCGUAGAGAUCUGGAGGAAUACCGAUGGCGAAGGCAGCCAUCUGGCCUAAUACUGACGCUGAGGUACGAAAGCAUGGGGAGCAAAGCAGGAUUAGAUACCCCUGGUAGGCUCUGCU